This 179-nucleotide ribosomal RNA is filed under the name uncultured Fastidiosipila sp. RNAcentral describes it as "partial 16S ribosomal RNA". It matches the Rfam family "Bacterial small subunit ribosomal RNA", at positions 1204 to 1382 of the family's 1533-position model. Lineage: Bacteria; Bacillati; Bacillota; Clostridia; Eubacteriales; Oscillospiraceae. The record is from RNAcentral.
AUGUCCAGGGCUACACACACGCUACAAUGGUCAGCACAAUAGGUAGCCAAGCCGCGAGGUGGAGCCAAUCCUCAAAGCUGGCCUCAGUUCAGAUCGCAGGCUGCAACCCGCCUGCGUGAAGCCGGAGUUGCUAGUAACCGCAGGUCAGCUAUACUGCGGUGAAUACGUUCCCGGGGCUU